GUGACCGAACUGCCCGCGCGGAGAGGACUGGCGGCGGAGAACUGCAGCAAGAGCAGGAAACCCACGGGACCGCGGACGUGCGCGAGGCUCGAGGCCGCGCUGCACCGAGGAGCGCCGUGCGGUCACUUCCGGCCUGCGGGGGGACUUUUUAAAGGAAUAGCGGGUAUUUCCGAAGCCAUGGGGGCAUCGCCACGCCGCGGUGUCGCCGCUAGGGCUGGGGCUUCUGUGAGUUCUAAUGAUUCUGCCGUACGUGCUUUGCUCUAAUUGUCAACUGUUUUGUCAAGUCCGCGUUGGCUCCAAGAGAGACCUUCCCUGAAGUUUUCAGUGCCCGCGGAGUGGACAGCCCCGGCGGAGCAUCUGACCGCCCGCUCCCCGGCUCCCGCUGUAGCAAGCAUCGGGCGUACUUGUCAUUCACGUCGAUGAUGCUGUUUUCCUUAGAGAUCCGAGUGUACAAAUGGACUGAUGCUGCAAAGUCCGUGGGUGGGGUUGGGGUGGGGAGAGUACUUCUGCCUGCCGGGUCUUCAGAGAUGAGUUUACAUUUCGAUGAGUAGUAGCGCUGACAAGCCACGUCUUGCAAGGGCGGUUGCAUUUGACCGAAUGGCACAGGUUCCCUUCACCGAUAUGAGCUCGGGCAGCAUUCAUCAUCUGGAGGGGGAUCUUUCCAUAUCUACCUCUCCUUUCUACUGUUCGAAGUGUAAAUUCAUCUCAGGUUAUUGAGUUUUCAGUACUUUGAUUGUAUCCAAAUGGAAGCAUUCAAGUAUGAUAUUGUCUAGCAGUAAAUUUACUUAAAAAAAAAAAAAAACUGACCCUGUGGACUAUCACAUGAGUUAUAAAUAUCCAAGGUAAAAGAGUGAACAGAGAGUUGCAGGAGGACUAAGAAACACGAGGAAACAUGAGUAACCGUGAUAACGGUUAUAAUUUGCUUUAAAGAUCAUUUACAUUUUCUUUUAAAAUUUCCUGUGUAUGAGUUCUUUGCCUGGAUGUAUGUCUAUUCACGAUGUGCUAGAGCAACCAGAGCUCUUAACCACUGAGCCAUUUCUCCAACCCCCAAAGAGUAUAUAUUUGCCUUUUGAGAGAGAACAGUUUUUAGUCGUUUUUGUCAUUUCCAUGGAUGUGGAAAAUUAAAAUUCCAAUUUAUUUCUUGGCUAUUUUACUAGGGAAUCUAACUUAAUAAAAUGGAUGUUCUGUUGAAUCUACAGGUCAUACAUUGGGAUAAGAUAGUUACAAAAGCGCAGUUACCACCUCGAUGUACUUUAAUGUUAGUCAUUAAAAUUCUCUGAGUGGUGUGGAAAAGUAAAUACCGUACACAUCAAAGAAGGGGCUCUUGGGACCUAGGAGGGGUGGGGCAAGGCUUAAACAGACACCUUUCAGUCUCAGGCUUAGUCUGGAGGACAUCAAGUUCUUGUCUGUAGUUUUAAAGGUUAAGAUUAUUUUCUUUGCUGUGGGAAAGAAUAGUGUUAUUUUUUUUUAGUUUAGUUUUUUUUUUUGUUUGUUUUUC
This 1498-nucleotide long non-coding RNA is filed under the name Mus caroli (Ryukyu mouse). Its description in RNAcentral is "RIKEN cDNA C030034I22 gene (MGP_CAROLIEiJ_G0005227.1)". Lineage: Eukaryota; Metazoa; Chordata; Mammalia; Rodentia; Muridae. The record is from RNAcentral.